AGUAACUUGCCCAAAGUGACACAUUAAGUGAGGAUCAAGAAAUCACACCAGCCAGUCUGACUUCAGAGCCCUCACUCAAAAUCACCUCUCUGCAUGAAAAAAAAAAGUAAGAAGCUGAUGUGAAGACACAGGAAGAAUGCCGCUAAAUACCGAGGAGGAAACUAAAAUGUAACACAAGCCAAGGAGGGCUGGGCCUACUAGGAGCCGAAAAAGCCUGCCUUUAGUCAAAUCGAGCUCAUUUUGAAGUCUUUCCUGGGAGUCCUGAAGACUAGCAAUGAGUCCUUCUGCAGAGCCAAGACCUUGUUCACUUUUCCUUACCAGAUCUUGGAGGCGACCAAUCUGCAACUACCUGAGAUCCUAAACAGAGGACCCAGCUAACCCACACUUGGACUCCUGACCCACAACACCACGAGGUAAUAAACAUGAGCU
Suricata suricatta (meerkat) is the source of this 429-nucleotide long non-coding RNA. RefSeq lists it as uncharacterized. NCBI's taxonomy places the organism in Eukaryota, Metazoa, Chordata, Mammalia, Carnivora, Herpestidae. The transcript has 4 exons. The record is from RefSeq and is a predicted model, not a curated record.